GACGAACGCUGGCGGCGUGCUUAACACAUGCAAGUCGAACGGAAAGGCCCUGCUUUUGUGGGGUGCUCGAGUGGCGAACGGGUGAGUAACACGGGAGUAACCUGCCCUUGACUUUGGGAUAACUUCAGGAAACUGGGGCUAAUACCGGAUAGGAGCUCCUGCUGCAUGGUGGGGGUUGGAAAGUUUCGGCGGUUGGGGAUGGACUCGCGGCUUAUCAGCUUGUUGGUGGGGUAGUGGCUUACCAAGGCUUUGACGGGUAGCCGGCCUGAGAGGGUGACCGGCCACAUUGGGACUGAGGUACGGCGCAGACUCCUACGGGAGGCAGCAGUGGGGAAUAUUGCACAAUGGGCGGAAGCCUGAUGCAGCAACGCCGCGUGCGGGAUGACGGCCUUCGGGUUGUAAACCGCUUUAGCCUGUGACGAAGCGUGAGUGACGGUAAUGGGUAAAGAAGCACCGGCUAACUACGUG
This 468-nucleotide ribosomal RNA is filed under the name uncultured bacterium. RNAcentral describes it as "partial 16S ribosomal RNA". It matches the Rfam family "Bacterial small subunit ribosomal RNA", at positions 28 to 507 of the family's 1533-position model. The record is from RNAcentral.